This 596-nucleotide ribosomal RNA is filed under the name uncultured prokaryote. RNAcentral describes it as "bacterial SSU rRNA". It matches the Rfam family "Bacterial small subunit ribosomal RNA", at positions 876 to 1482 of the family's 1533-position model. The record is from RNAcentral.
GGGAGUACGCCGGCAACGGUGAACUCAAAGGAAUUGACGGGGGCCCGCACAAGCGGAGGAACAUGUGGUUUAAUUCGNUGAUACGCGAGGANCCUUACCCGGGCUUGAACGUAGGGAGACAGUUCUGGAAACAGAAUCUCUAGCAAUAGCUGCCUACGAGGUGCUGCAUGGUUGUCGUCAGCUCGUGCCGUGAGGUGUCGGCUUAAGUGCCAUAACGAGCGCAACCCACAUCGAUAGUUACUAACAGGUUAAGCUGAGGACUCUAUCGAGACUGCCAGCGUAAGCUGUGAGGAAGGUGUGGAUGACGUCAAAUCAGCACGGCCCUUACGUCCGGGGCGACACACGUGUUACAAUGGGAGGUACAAAGGGCAGCUACCUGGCGACAGGAUGCUAAUCUCUAAAACCUUUCUCAGUUCGGAUUGGAGUCUGCAACUCGACUCCAUGAAGCUGGAUUCGCUAGUAAUCGCGCAUCAGCCAUGGCGCGGUGAAUACGUUCCCGGGCCUUGUACACACCGCCCGUCAAGCCAUGGAAGCUGGGGGUACCUGAAGUAUGCAACCGCAAGGAGCGUCCUAGGGUAAAACCGGUAACUGGGGCU